Molecule: ribosomal RNA, 252 nt
Filed under: uncultured bacterium
Lineage: Bacteria
Description: partial 16S ribosomal RNA
Rfam family: Bacterial small subunit ribosomal RNA
Source: RNAcentral
UACGAAGGGGGCGAGCGUUGUUCGGAUUUACUGGGCGUAAGGGCGCGCAGGCGGUUCUGUUUGUCGAGUGUGAAAGCCCCGGGCUCAACCUGGGAACUGCGCUCGAAACGGCGGAACUAGAGUUCGGGAGAGGAGAGUGGAAUUCCCAGUGUAGAGGUGAAAUUCGUAGAUAUUGGGAAGAACACCGGUGGCGAAGGCGGCUCUCUGGACCGAUACUGACGCUGAGGCGCGAAAGCGUGGGGAGCAAACAGG